This 277-nucleotide long non-coding RNA is filed under the name Elaeis guineensis (African oil palm). RNAcentral's name for it is "long non-coding RNA (EGUI_LNC034366)". Lineage: Eukaryota; Viridiplantae; Streptophyta; Magnoliopsida; Arecales; Arecaceae. The record is from RNAcentral.
CUAUUUCCUCCGAUCGCAAGGCACUCGGCUCCCCAAAGGUCAUCAAAAGUGCAUCACGUUGUGAUAAGCAUCAAGCGGAGCUAAGGAAAGCAUUUUGUGCUCUCAUCUUGACCAUUGUAACUCCUGGAAGGAUAUUUUUCUCCCCGCUAUCUAGCGUGCCAAACUGUUGCGGCUCAUCUCUAGUAGGGUAGUCGGAUCGUCAUGCCUAAGUGUCAAACAGCAAAAAACUGGUGGAGAAAAAUAGCUCACCGGAGAGAGGGCACAGUCGAGAAGGUCG